RNAcentral lists this transfer RNA (87 nucleotides) under Candidatus Delongbacteria bacterium. RNAcentral's name for it is "tRNA-Ser". It matches the Rfam family "tRNA". From Rfam's summary of the family: Transfer RNA (tRNA) molecules are approximately 80 nucleotides in length. Their secondary structure includes four short double-helical elements and three loops (D, anti-codon, and T loops). Lineage: Bacteria; Candidatus Delongiibacteriota. The record is from RNAcentral.
GGAGAGGUGCCAGAGCGGUUGAUAGGGACGGUCUCGAAAACCGUUGUUCGUUUACGCGGACCGAGGGUUCGAAUCCCUCCCUCUCCG